UGGGGAAUCUUCGACAAUGGGCGCAAGCCUGAUCCAGCCAUGCCGCGUGCGUGAUGACGCCCCUCGGGUUGUAAAGCUCUUUCCCCUGUGAAGAUAAUGACGGUAACCGGAGAAGAAGCCCCGGCUCACUUCGUGCCCGCAGCCGCGGUAAUACGAAGGGGGCUCGCGUUGUUCGGAUUUACUGGGCGUAAAGCGCACGUAGGCGGACUAUUAAGUCAGGGGUGAAAUCCCGGGGCUCAACCCCGGAACUGCCUUUGAUACUGGUAGUCUUGAGGUCGGGAGAGGUGAGUGGAAUUCCGGGUGUAGAGGUGAAAUUCGUAGAUAUUCGGAGGAACACCAAUGGCGAAGGCGGCGCACUGGCUCGAUACUGACGCUGAGGUGCGAAAGCGUGGGGAGCAAACAGG
This 404-nucleotide ribosomal RNA is filed under the name Actinomycetes bacterium. RNAcentral describes it as "Actinobacteria bacterium partial 16S ribosomal RNA". It matches the Rfam family "Bacterial small subunit ribosomal RNA", at positions 355 to 776 of the family's 1533-position model. The record is from RNAcentral. Lineage: Bacteria; Bacillati; Actinomycetota; Actinomycetes.